CUUGUGGAUCGAUGAUCAUAUAGUGGGUAUGAUGUGAUUUCUUCAACUGGUUGUACACUCUCUUGAAGGUUUCUUGCUAGUGACGGGCUUACCUCUGAGCCCCCCAGAUUAGGCCAUUUCAGGCUGAACUGGGUGAAAAUUUCUGUGUUCGAUUUUCUGUUCCUGCUUUAUUUUACUGUUUUACGAUUGUUUGUUGGUGUUGGGUCGAUAAUCCUAACAAAUCUGGUAUCAGAGCUCGGUUUUCGAGGCAUCUGCGUGACAUACCUUGCCCUGAGGAUAUUUUAGUGGGUUGAGAAAAAGGUUAAACGGUCGAACAUAUUUUUUUUUCGGAUCAGCAGAUUUUUUUUUCGGAUAUUUCUUGAGAUUUUAAUUUCUGUCCAGAUCUUAAAGAUCUGCACAGAUAUUUAGGAAACUAAUUUUUCUAUUUAAGUGCGAAGGUUAAGAACAAAAAUUAGUCAGCCCCUGACCGGCUCCAUUUUUGGCAAGUGAUAGGGUGAUCUCUGAAACUCUUGUGAUUGCACUGUUGUUCAACGGUGCUGUGGGUGAGAUCUAAAUAAUAAAAGAGCCCGUAUAAUUUUGGUGCACAAAAUUGCAUGUUUAUUGCUCUGUGGAUUAAUUACUGAAAUUGUACAUUGUGCAUUGAUAAUUGAUCUGACAAUAGGAGCAUGUUUUAGGAAUUAUACAAAGUUCUUUAUAUUUGUUGAGUAAUUCCUUGUAUUCCAACACAUUGAUUGCUUGUGUACAUUGUUUUCAGUUAUGCAAGUUAGGAUAAUUGUUUUUCAUUCUGUAAUCUGCAUUCCUUAAAUCAGUUAGGAAGUUUCUUGGUUUUGUUUUUUGUAAUCAUAUAUUGAGGUGUCUGUUAUGGCUUCCAGUAGUAGCCACCCCUUUUCAGAACCUAUGAUGGGUUCGAAAGUCGAACUAUCACAAUUCGAUGGAAAGGGGGAUUACUCGAUUUGGAAGCAAAAAAUGAGGGCCAUAUUGGUCCAACAGAGGGUUGCUAAAGCCCUGGACGACCCUGACAAAUAUUCUGAUGAACUUAAAGCCAGACCAGAUGAGAUUCUUGAAAUGAAUGAAAUAACUUAUAGUUCGAUUAUCCUGCACUUAUCUGAUAAUAUUGUAAGACAAGUAGAAGAAUCCAAAACUGCUAGAGAUCUUUGGACAGCCUUAGAUAACUUGUUCUUAACCAAGACUUUACCAAAUAAAAUUUAUCUCCUGGAAAAACUGUUUAGCUUUAAAAUGGAUGAUCGAAAAGACCUGGAAACCAAUUUGAGUGAUUUUAGCAUACUGGUGAAGAGUCUUGCUCAUAAUGAUAAAAAAUUUGAAGAUGAGGAUCUUGCAGUAAUCCUUCUAAACUCUUUACCUGAUUCUCUUAAGGAUAUCAAAAAUGCUAUAAAAUACUCAAGAGAUGCAUUAACACAAUCAAUCGUGACAAAUGCCCUAAGAUCUAGGGAACUGGAAGUCAAGAAAGAAUCUAAACUAAACUCAAGAGAAGAGAGUUUAUUUGUGAGAGGAAGACAAGAAAAGAGGGAAAGUAAUUCCCAGAACAAAAGAUUCAAGUCCAAAUCCAGAACCAGAUCUAAAUCAAGAGACAAAAGCAAUAAAAAAUGCUAUCACUGUGGGAAACUUGGACAUUUUAAAAGAGACUGUUAUGAGCUAAAGAAGAAGCUAAAAGAAUCCAGCAACAUUGAGUUAAAUAAUGCUGCUGUGAGUUCUGAACUUGACAGUCUUCUUGUAAUGACUGUGACAAAUGAAGAAACAGAUACUAAUUGGAUUCUGUAUGUACAUUUCAUAUGUGCCCAAACAAAUCUUGGUUUCAUAACUACAAGGAGAUAGAACACAGAAAAGUAUAUAUGGGUGAUAACAAUUCACAAAAUGUAUUGGGAAUUGGGGACAUUUCAAUCAAAAUGUAUGAUGGAAGUGUUAGACUGAUUAAAAAUGUGAGAUAUGUCCUAAAGCUAAAAAGAAACCUCAUUUCAUUGGGGAUUCUUGAAGAUGAGGGACAUACAUUUAAAUCUGAAAAUAACACUUUGAAAAUCUUGAAAGGAUCUCUUGUAGUCAUGAAAGGGCCUAAAAGGAAUGGGCUAUAUUACUUAAUGGGAAAAGCUGUUAAUUCCCAGGACUCAAAUUCUUUAACUAUAACUGAGUGCAAAUCUGAAUUGUGGCAUUGUAGAAUGGGUCAUAUUGGAAAUAAGGGCUUAAAGUAUCUUAAUGACCAGAAAUUGUUUGGGAAAGAUAAAGUCGAACCCCUUAACUUUUGUGAAACAUGUGUGUUAGGGAAGUCUCAUAGAGUGAGUUUUGAGACUGGGUCACACACAACAAAUAGACCUUUGGACUAUGUCCAUGCGGAUUUAUGGGGGCCAGAAAAUCACCCAACCUCUGGUGGAAAUAAAUGUUUUUUUUCUAUAAUUGAUGAUUAUUCUAGAAAGGUCUGGACCUACCCUUUGAAAUCCAAAAAUGAAACUUUUCAAAAAUUCAGAUUGUGGUUAAAGAUGGUUGAGAACCAAUUGGACAAGAAAUUAAAAACCUUAAGGACAGAUAAUGGGUUGGAAUUUUGCAAUGCUGAAUUUGAUAAUUUUUGCAAGCAAAAAGGAAUUAUUAGACAUAGAACUGUUAAGCAUACUCCCCAACAAAAUGGGGUUGCUGAGAGAAUGAAUAAAACCCUUAUGAAUAAGGUAAGAUGUAUGCAGAUCAGUUCUGGGCUUGCAAAAGGAUUUUGGGCAGAGGCUUUAUGCACUGCUGCCUACCUCAUAAAUAGGUCCCCUUGUAGUUCUGUAGAAUUUAAAACUCCACAGGAACUAUGGACUGGAAAACCACCAAAUCUGUCACACUUAAGAGUUUUUGGUUGUGCUGCAUAUGCACAUCAAGUUGAGGGAAAAUUAGACCCGAGGGCUACCAAGUGUGUUAUGCUUGGAUACCCUGAAGGGGUUAAAGGGUACAGGUUAUGGGUACUUGGUAUUAAAUGAAUAAAAAUCAUUAAUAGCAGAAAUGUGGUGUUUAAUGAAACUGAGAUGCCAUGUUUGAAGAGUAAUAUGGAUAAAUCAGAUCUGGCUGAAAAGGGUACUUCCCAAAGUGAGGUGAAGUUGGCAAAAUUAAAUAACAGCAGAUCUGAUGUAACUGAAUCAGAACCUGUACAGGUCAUUGAAAGUAUAGAAAAUACUGAUGAAGGUGAAGUUGAUCCACCCCAAACUGGAACUGAAACAGAAUCUGAAACAAUGGCAUCUAACUACCCAGAAAAUGAACCUAGUACCAAAGAUUAUCAAUUGGUUAGAGAUAGGGACAGGAGACAGAUUAAACCUAACCUUAGGUAUGAAAUGAAUAAUCUGACCGAAUUUGCCUUCAUCUCUGGUGAAAACUUAGAACAUUCUGAACCCUUUUCUUAUGAAGAAGCAAUGAAUAGUUCUAAGUCAAAAGAAUGGAAAGAAGCAAUGAAAGAAAAAAUGAAAUCCCUUCUUGAAAAUAAAACCUGGAAACUUGUAAAGAAGCCAAAGAACCAAAGAGUGGUUCAGUGUAAGUGGAUCUUUAAGUUGAAGGAAGGUAUUUCUGAAUCUGAUCCUUUGAGGUAUAAGGCAAGGCUUGUAGCUAAAGGGUUCACUCAAAGGGAGGGAGUUGAUUACAAUGAAAUUUUUUCACCUGUAAUCAAAUAUAAAACCAUAAGACUCAUUUUGGCUCUAGUUGUUCAAUUUGAUUGGGAAUUAGAACAAUUAGAUGUGAAAACUGCCUUUUUACAUGGGGAAUUGGAAGAGGACAUUUAUAUGUGUCAACCUCAAGGUUUCGAAGAAAGGGGAAAAUCUGAUUUUGUUUGUAAAUUGCAAAAAUCACUGUAUGGACUGAAACAAAGUCCAAGACAGUGGUAUAUAAGGUUUGACACAUAUGUUUUGAAAAUUGGUUUUAGAAGGAGUAAAUAUGAUCACUAUUUAUACUAUAAUAAUUCUAAAACCGAGUCUAAAACGUAUCUACUACUCUACGUAGAUGAUAUGCUUCUUGCCAGCCCCAGUAAAGCUGAAAUAAUGAGGCAUUAAGAUCCGAAUUUGAUAUGAAAGACUUAGGAAAUACCAAGAAAAUUUUAGGGAUGGUGAUAAAUCGAAAUAGGCAAGAAAACAUGCUAACCAUAUCACAAGAACCCUACCUGCACAAAGUUAUAACGAAGUUUGGUAUGAAAGAAGCUAAGUCCGUCAAUGUUCCCCUUGCUGCCCAUAUGAAUCUCUCAUCAGCCCAGUGUCCAAAAACUGAAUCUGAAAUUAAAGAUAUGACAAAUAUCCCAUAUGCCAAUGCAAUUGGAUCUGUUAUGUUUUCCAUGAUUACAACACGACCAGAUCUUGCAUAUUCAAUCAGUUUUUUAAGUAGGUUUAUGGCAAACCCUGGAAAACCACAUUGGGCUGGGUUAAAGUGGCUACUUAGAUACAUAGUUGGGACCCUAAAUGUAGGAUUGGUGUUCAAAAAGGGAUCGGAACCAUUAACUCUUAAAGGAUAUGUGGAUUCCGAUUUCGCUGGAGAUAAAGAUCAAAGAAAGUCUACAACUGCCUUCUUUUUUACACUUGGUGAUAAUUGUAUUACGUGGAAGUCUCAACUUCAAUCGAUUGUAACUUUGUCUAGCACUGAAGCUGAAUAUGUGGCAAUUACUGAAUGUGUAAAAGAAUGCAUGUGGCUUAAAGGGAUCCUAACUGAACUGAAUUUUCUAAAUACUCCACUUGUGAUAUUAACUGAUAGUCAAAGUGCUUUACUUUUAAGCAAAAAUCCUGUCUAUCAUGAAAGGUCAAAACACAUUGAGGUGAAGUAUCAUUUCAUAAGAGAAAAACUCUCAUCUGGUGAAAUGGCUCUUGAGAAAAUUCAUACUGAUUUUAAUCCUGCUGAUAUGGGGAUUAAAGUACUGACUGUUAAUAAAUUCAGAUCUUGUUUAUCAUUGCUUAAUAUUGAUACAGGUUGAUUUUUUGUGCAGGUACUUGGGCGAUGAUGUAGGGUACGGUUCUGUCACUAGCAUUAUAGCAACAAGAGAGGAAGUGCGCGGUUUGAGAACCAAGGUGAAGAUUUGUGAAGUCGUGAUUAUCAAACAGCACAUCCAUAAGUGAAAAAACGUUUUCUACUCUUUAUACUCCAUGGACAGAUGGCAUUCGGUUAUUGGAUAAAAUAAUGUCACUAGAGUUGUGGUUUUUCUCUUAUCAUGUAUGGACCAUUGAUCCACAUCUAUGGUUGAGAUUUAGUCUCAUAUAAUUAAUGCAAAGGGAGAUUUUAAGGGUUGGUGAGAAGAAGUCAGCCGGCACUUUUUCUUUUCAUUUGGCAGAAAUUGUCCCUUCAAGUUUCUCUCUCUCUCUCUCUCUCUCUUUCCUUCAUGUUUCUGCUUCUUCUUUUCUCUUUUGAAUUGAAGAACCAAUGAAGAUUAUUGUAAUAAUCUUGUUGUUAUCUGAUGAUGAUAGAACUAUGGUACAGAGUUUUAGGCCUUGAUUGUGGCUGGUAAAUCUGUAGUGUGUUCUUGGGAAGGUUUUGUCUAGUCUUGUGGCUAGGUUUUCGAGUUAUUGAGAGAUCCUUGUGGAUCGAUGAUCAUAUAGUGGGUAUGAUGUGGUUUCUUCAACUGGUUGUAUACUCUCUUGAAGAUUUCUUGCUAGUGACGGGCUUACCUCUGAGCCCCCCCAGAUUAGGCCAUUUCAGGCUGAGCUGGGUGAAAAUUUCUGUGUUCGAUUUUCUGUUCUUGCUUUAUUUUACUGUUUUACGAUUGUUUGUUGGUGUUGGGUCGAUAAUCCUAACAA
RNAcentral lists this long non-coding RNA (5741 nucleotides) under Olea europaea (common olive). Its description in RNAcentral is "long non-coding RNA (OEUR_LNC014847)". The record is from RNAcentral. Lineage: Eukaryota; Viridiplantae; Streptophyta; Magnoliopsida; Lamiales; Oleaceae.